This 539-nucleotide small RNA is filed under the name Histoplasma capsulatum var. duboisii H88. RNAcentral describes it as "Histoplasma capsulatum H88 hypothetical RNA". The record is from RNAcentral. Lineage: Eukaryota; Fungi; Ascomycota; Eurotiomycetes; Onygenales; Ajellomycetaceae.
AAACUCUGGCAUGGAGAUACGCAGGAAAGCCUGUAGAGUACAACAGUAACAUCCUACGGAGAUUUGCAUGCAGAUUGCUCAGUUGUUCAAAUAUAGGGAGGGGCAUCUGCUAUUCUCGACGUAUUUCGGGGAGGCUGGAAGGCCCGAGAUUCGGUAGCGAAUUUUUGCUUUUUCUUGUUGAUCAGGCUCUUGUUGUUGCAAAUGAAGCUUCUUCCGGGAGUAGAAACCCGGCUAAAACCCGACACUAACACUCAGACCCGAGCACUUGCAAUCCUCCAGCCUGUCUGAGAUCGGUUGACCCUGUUCGUCGCCUAGCUUCGCUGGUUCGUUUCGCUUCGAGAUAGGAAAGUGGAAAAGCAUUGUCAGAUAUUAUGGCCAUUUUCAAAGCGGUAAACAAAUUGUAACCCGAAGCAGUACGGAAAAUGAAGUCUGCGCAAUCCCUUACUCCUUUUCUAUCAUUCCAGAAAGGCCCUGGUAUGUCUGAUUUGCAAUUGGAAGAAUUGGCGACAGAGGACGGUUCCCAACAAAGAGAAAGAUGU